UACGGAGGGUGCGAGCGUUGUCCGGAAUCACUGGGCGUAAAGGGCGCGUAGGCGGCGCGGAAAGUCAACGGUGAAAGCUCGGGGCUCAACCCCGAGUCGGCCGUCGAUACUUCUGUGCUCGGGCACUGUAGAGGCAGGUGGAAUUCCGGGUGUAGCGGUGGAAUGCGUAGAGAUCCGGAAGAACACCGGUGGCGAAGGCGGCCUGCUGGGCAGUAGCUGACGCUGAUGCGCGACAGCGUGGGGAGCAAACAGG
This 253-nucleotide ribosomal RNA is filed under the name uncultured bacterium. RNAcentral's name for it is "partial 16S ribosomal RNA". It matches the Rfam family "Bacterial small subunit ribosomal RNA", at positions 524 to 776 of the family's 1533-position model. The record is from RNAcentral.